Arachis duranensis is the source of this 1111-nucleotide long non-coding RNA. RefSeq lists it as uncharacterized. The transcript has 4 exons. The record is from RefSeq and is a predicted model, not a curated record. NCBI's taxonomy places the organism in Eukaryota, Viridiplantae, Streptophyta, Magnoliopsida, Fabales, Fabaceae.
UCACAUACACUCAGCCACUCUCCUUCUCCUUCCUCUCAUUCAGCUCUUCCUUCACUCCCUCACUUUCGUCCAGCUGCCGUCGCAACUUUCUUCCCCUCCAUCGCACAGCUACUGUUCGAACUUUGAAGCCACCGUCGCCAGUGCAACUGGUCUCGCCUCCUGCCUCCGUCACGCAGCGCCGCUGUCAGCUCUAUUCCACCGCGCUCUUGUCCCUUCAGUCACCGGCGUCAGCUCUGUUCCCCUCUUGCUUCGUCUGCUACUCUGCUCUGUUCUAGUUUCUAGACUUCAAUUCAGGAGACUAUAGUAUCAUUUUUAUAGUGUUGUGAUCAAUGUGGAAUAUGGUUGAUGGUGGGAAAGUAGUUACUCUCAAAGCUAUUGAAAAAAAAGCAGCAAUAUUGUCAUGCAAGAGAUGCCAAUACAGAUUCUUGACAUUUUAUGAAGAGUGAAACCAAAUAAUUGGAUCAUCUGUGUGAAUGGUUGAAGGCUGAGCCUCUCUAAUUGCUGUCAAUGUUCUCCCCAUCACAACCAUAGACAUUCUUUUUUCUUCCUUAUUCCUUCAAACUAUUUUCCCUUAUCCCUUAUUUCUUUUUACAAUGUCAUGAAUUAUGUUUUUUUUUUUAUUUUUUAGAUAUAUUUAGUUAUUUUAUGAAUAUGUUCGAUAGAAAUAUCUCUUGUUUAUUACUGUUUAAGUAUUUGAGGACAAUGAAAAUUAUGUUUGUAAUAAUAAUUGAAAAUUAUCUUUUUUUUUUCUGUUUUUUUUUUGAAAUUUUUUAUAAAAAUCUGCGGAUAUCUACGGAGACUCCAAUCUCCGACGGAUAGAGGUCCUCGUUACCCAUUGUAGGAAUGGGAACAGGUUUUGAAGGCGGGAGCGAGACGGGGUGGGGGCGGGAGGCAUGUCCCCGCCCCACAGGGACCCGUUGCUAUUCCUACCGCACUAGGAUGCCAUUAAAAGAGGAGAAAAAAUCCUAAAUGACAUAUUUAUAUUUGGUUUUUAUUUUGUUAUUUAACUUUUGAAUUUGUAUUUGAAUGAGUUCAUAACAUUGUAGUUUAUAUAGUACUUUUAAUUUAGAUGAUAUUUUAAAAUCUAUAUUAGACUAUAAUUAUAUUUUAA